This 248-nucleotide microRNA precursor is filed under the name Arabidopsis thaliana (thale cress). Its description in RNAcentral is "MIR824 microRNA precursor family". It matches the Rfam family "MIR824 microRNA precursor family", at positions 120 to 377 of the family's 654-position model. The record is from Rfam by way of RNAcentral. Lineage: Eukaryota; Viridiplantae; Streptophyta; Magnoliopsida; Brassicales; Brassicaceae.
AACAUACCACACUACCCUUUUAAAAACUAUCCUAUAUGUUAGAUGCUUAUUGCAUAGCCUAAUUUUGUUUUCUCAUGGUGCAGCAGGUUAGUUUCUUGUGUACCUCUAGAUAUAUAUUCUCUUGCUGCCUAGGGUUCCCAAGCUGCCCAUUUUUUUUUUUAAACUGUUCCCCAAACACCCAUCCAAUAAGAAAGGUCUACUUUGUAGCUCAAAGCUAUUAGAGUUGUGCUCGCGUCUUGGUUUUACUG